GAUGAACGCUAGCGGCGUGCCUAAUACAUGCAAGUCGAGCGAACAGACGAGGAGCUUGCUCCUUUGACGUUAGCGGCGGACGGGUGAGUAACACGUGGGUAACCUACCUAUAAGACUGGGAUAACUUCGGGAAACCGGAGCUAAUACCGGAUAAUAUUUCGAACCGCAUGGUUCGAUAGUGAAAGAUGGCUUUGCUAUCACUUAUAGAUGGACCUGCGCCGUAUUAGCUAGUUGGUAAGGUAACGGCUUACCAAGGCAACGAUACGUAGCCGACCUGAGAGGGUGAUCGGCCACACUGGAACUGAGACACGGUCCAGACUCCUACGGGAGGCAGCAGUAGGGAAUCUUCCGCAAUGGGCGAAAGCCUGACGGAGCAACGCCGCGUGAGUGAUGAAGGUCUUCGGAUCGUAAAACUCUGUUAUUAGGGAAGAACAAACGUGUAAGUAACUGUGCACGUCUUGACGGUACCUAAUCAGAAAGCCACGGCUAACUACGUG
RNAcentral lists this ribosomal RNA (497 nucleotides) under uncultured bacterium. RNAcentral's name for it is "partial 16S ribosomal RNA". It matches the Rfam family "Bacterial small subunit ribosomal RNA", at positions 28 to 507 of the family's 1533-position model. The record is from RNAcentral.